GGCGGGUCUGAGUACAGUAGUUUUACAAUUAAUUGAUCACAGCCAUUACAGAUUUCUUUGUUCCCUCUCCAUUUUCACUGCUUUACUUGACUAGUCUAAA
This 100-nucleotide Y RNA is filed under the name Suricata suricatta (meerkat). RNAcentral describes it as "Y RNA (ENSSSUG00005020542.1)". It matches the Rfam family "Y RNA". From Rfam's summary of the family: Y RNAs are components of the Ro ribonucleoprotein particle (Ro RNP), in association with Ro60 and La proteins. The Y RNAs and Ro60 and La proteins are well conserved, but the function of the Ro RNP is not known. The record is from Rfam by way of RNAcentral. Lineage: Eukaryota; Metazoa; Chordata; Mammalia; Carnivora; Herpestidae.